AUUGAACGCUGGCGGCAGGCCUAACACAUGCAAGUCGAGCGAGCGGCGGACGGGUGAGUAAUGUCUGGGAAACUGCCUGAUGGAGGGGGAUAACUACUGGAAACGGUAGCUAAUACCGCAUACCAUCAGAGGUGCCCAGCUGGGAUUAGCUAGUAGGUGGGGUAAGUGCUCACCUAGGCUACGAUCCCUAGCUGGUCUGAGAGGAUGACCAGCCACACUGGCACUGAGACACGGUCCAGACUCCUACGGGAGGCAGCAGUGGGGAAUAUUGCACAAUGGGCGCAAGCCUGAUGCAGCCAUGCCGCGUGUGUGAAGAAGGCCUUCGGGUUGUAAAGCACUUUCAGCGGGGAGGCGUUACCCGCAGAAGAAGCACCGGCUAACUCCGUGCCAGCAGCCGCGGUAAUUC
This 406-nucleotide ribosomal RNA is filed under the name uncultured bacterium. RNAcentral's name for it is "partial 16S ribosomal RNA". It matches the Rfam family "Bacterial small subunit ribosomal RNA", at positions 30 to 526 of the family's 1533-position model. The record is from RNAcentral.